AUUCGAAAUUAAUUAGUCAAAAUUGACGACAUUCGACCGAAGUCGACGAACGUUCAACGACAUUUUUUAGCAAAUUCUUAUUAAAAUGGACGGUCGCAAGGUACAAAAGACUAAGAAUGAAUCACCGAAGAGCCCACGCCCUAAGAGAUCAAUGAAGAGUUACUUUUUUGGCGGCAUCUUUGUGACGGGUAUGGCCGCUUUCUUUAUUUGCUUUAUUGGAAAGGUAUACUCUUCCACCGAAGGAGGCUGGCUUGAAUCGGUACUGCAAAAGAUACAAUAAAUAUUUUGUCGUUGGAAGUUUGAAGGAAAAUUUGAAGUAAUAUGUCACUUUUUAUACUAAAUUUUUUAUAUUUCUAUUUUUUCAAUUUUGUACUUGCUGACCGUUGUCUGAUUUGUUGAUAUUGUACCUUGAGUGGAUAAAUAAAUUGCCUGUUAUGUA
Molecule: long non-coding RNA, 439 nt
Organism: Aethina tumida (small hive beetle)
Lineage: Eukaryota; Metazoa; Arthropoda; Insecta; Coleoptera; Nitidulidae
Exons: 3
Source: RefSeq, a predicted model, not a curated record